AACCUUACCUGGGCUUGAUAUCCUAAGAACCUCUUAGAGAUAAGAGGGUGCUAGCUUGCUAGAACUUAGAGACAGGUGCUGCACGGCUGUCGUCAGCUCGUGUCGUGAGAUGUUGGGUUAAGUCCCGCAACGAGCGCAACCCACGUAUUUAGUUGCUAACGGUUCGGCCGAGCACUCUAAAUAGACUGCCUUCGUAAGGAGGAGGAAGGUGUGGACGACGUCAAGUCAUCAUGGCCCUUAUGCCCAGGGCGACACACGUGCUACAAUGGCAUAUACAAUGAGACGCAAUACCGCGAGGUGGAGCAAAUCUAUAAAAUAUGUCCCAGUUCGGAUUGUUCUCUGCAACUCGAGAGCAUGAAGCCGGAAUCGCUAGUAAUCGUAGAUCAGCCAUGCUACGGUGAAUACGUUCCCGGGUCUUGUACUCACCGCCCGUCACACCAUGGGAGUUGAUUUCACUCGAAGCCGGAAUACUAAACUAGUUACCGUCCACAGUGGAAUCAGCGACUGGGGUGAAGUCGUAACAAGGUAACCGUAGGAGAACCUGCGGUUGGAUCACCUCCUUUCUAG
This 567-nucleotide ribosomal RNA is filed under the name Campylobacter coli. RNAcentral describes it as "bacterial SSU rRNA". It matches the Rfam family "Bacterial small subunit ribosomal RNA", at positions 967 to 1533 of the family's 1533-position model. Lineage: Bacteria; Pseudomonadati; Campylobacterota; Epsilonproteobacteria; Campylobacterales; Campylobacteraceae. The record is from RNAcentral.